GAUGAACGCUGGCGGCGUGCUUAACACAUGCAAGUCAAGCGAAGCGGCUGAAUUGAUUCUUCGGAUGAUUUUCAGUUGACUGAGCGGCGGACGGGUGAGUAACGCGUGGGUGACCUGCCCCAUACCGGGGGAUAACAGCUGGAAACGGCUGCUAAUACCGCAUAAGCGCACAGAGCUGCAUGGCUCGGUGUGAAAAACUCCGGUGGUAUGGGAUGGGCCCGCGUCUGAUUAGGCAGUUGGCGGGGUAACGGCCCACCAAACCGACGAUCAGUAGCCGGCCUGAGAGGGCGACCGGCCACAUUGGGACUGAGACACGGCCCAAACUCCUACGGGAGGCAGCAGUGGGGAAUAUUGCACAAUGGGGGAAACCCUGAUGCAGCGACGCCGCGUGAGCGAAGAAGUAUUUCGGUAUGUAAAGCUCUAUCAGCAGGGAAGAUAAUGACGGUACCUGACUAAGAAGCCCCGGCUAACUACGUGCCAGCAGCCGCGGUAAUACGUAGGGGGCAAGCGUUAUCCGGAUUUACUGGGUGUAAAGGGAGCGUAGACGGCAAGGCAAGUCUGAUGUGAAAACCCAGGGCUUAACCCUGGGACUGCAUUGGAAACUGUCUGGCUCGAGUGCCGGAGAGGUAAGCGGAAUUCCUAGUGUAGCGGUGAAAUGCGUAGAUAUUAGGAAGAACACCAGUGGCGAAGGCGGCCUACUGGACGGUAACUGACGUUGAGGCUCGAAAGCGUGGAGAGCAAACAGGAUUAGAUACCCUGGUAGUCCACGCCGUAAACGAUC
Molecule: ribosomal RNA, 781 nt
Filed under: uncultured bacterium
Lineage: Bacteria
Description: bacterial SSU rRNA
Rfam family: Bacterial small subunit ribosomal RNA
Source: RNAcentral